AGUGAACGCUGGCGGUAGGCCUAACACAUGCAAGUCGAACGGCAGCACAGGAGAGCUUGCUCUCUGGGUGGCGAGUGGCGGACGGGUGAGGAAUACAUCGGAAUCUGCCCAGUCGUGGGGGAUAACGUAGGGAAACUUACGCUAAUACCGCAUACGACCUUCGGGUGAAAGAGGGGGAUCGCAAGACCUCUCGCGAUUGGAUGAGCCGAUGUCGGAUUAGCUAGUUGGCGGGGUAAUGGCCCGCCAAGGCGACGAUCCGUAGCUGGUCUGAGAGGAUGAUCAGCCACACUGGAACUGAGACACGGUCCAGACUCCUACGGGAGGCAGCAGUGGGGAAUAUUGGACAAUGGGCGCAAGCCUGAUCCAGCCAUACCGCGUGGGUGAAGAAGGCCUUCGGGUUGUAAAGCCCUUUUGUUGGGAAAGAAAUCUUUCAGGCUAAUACCCUGGGAGGAUGACGGUACCCAAAGAAUAAGCACCGGCUAACUUCGUG
This 490-nucleotide ribosomal RNA is filed under the name uncultured bacterium. RNAcentral's name for it is "partial 16S ribosomal RNA". It matches the Rfam family "Bacterial small subunit ribosomal RNA", at positions 29 to 507 of the family's 1533-position model. The record is from RNAcentral.